Molecule: unclassified non-coding RNA, 292 nt
Filed under: fungal sp.
Lineage: Eukaryota; Fungi
Description: partial contains small subunit ribosomal RNA, internal transcribed spacer 1, and 5.8S ribosomal RNA
Rfam family: Eukaryotic small subunit ribosomal RNA (bases 1-47)
Source: RNAcentral
AAAGUCGUAACAAGGUUUCCGUAGGUGAACCUGCGGAAGGAUCAUUAGUGAUAUAGAAAAUCUAUUUUUCUAGUCCACUAUAUAUACCCUUUUGUCAACCAUACCUUUGUUGCUUCCACUGGACAGACAGAAGUGCCGCUUCAUUGUAGCAUGUAUGUCCUCUGGCUCACCUUUUGGUGUUGCUGGGGAGUGCCGGUGGAAAGAAAUCAAAACUCUGUCUUUAGAAACACUUGUCUGACAAACUUAUUUUUUAAUAAAAAUAAAACUUUCAACAACGGAUCUCUAGGCUCUU